RNAcentral lists this long non-coding RNA (520 nucleotides) under Homo sapiens (human). Its description in RNAcentral is "HSALNT0367124". Lineage: Eukaryota; Metazoa; Chordata; Mammalia; Primates; Hominidae. The record is from RNAcentral.
ACUCGCCCAGAGCGCGCACCCCUCACUCGUGCCCUUGUUCUUUGGAGAUAACGGCAGACAAUAAAAACCAACAGCCCCCCGCCAAUAGAAAUAUAUCAGUCCCUGAGUGUGGCGGAGACUGGCUAAUAUCCUGAUCCUUCGACAAGCGGCCGGUGUGCCCAGGCUGUCACCCUGCUGCCGUCACCCUAGUCUUUCUCUAGCUGGUUGGAUAUUAACCCGCAGCCAGGCGCGAGGAGGCUGGCGGAGAUUUAUUCCUUCCUGGGCCCCCACCCCCAUUAGCCGGUCCCGGAGCCGCGGCCCGUGUGUGUGCGCGCGCGCCCGCACACACACACACACACACACACACACACACACACACACACACGUUCACGGGCGCAAGCGAGCGCGCGCACGAGGAGGUGCGUGCACUCCGGGGUCCUCCGCCUCGCCUCCUCCCUGAAAGGAAGUGCUGCAUCCAGAUGUGCAGGCAGCUGGUGCCCAAACACUAGACCUCAAGAUGUCACAUUGCCUUGGAGGCGCG